UGCUUUUUCUGCAAAGUUGUC
Non-coding RNA from Caenorhabditis elegans, 21 nucleotides. Lineage: Eukaryota; Metazoa; Nematoda; Chromadorea; Rhabditida; Rhabditidae. The record is from Ensembl.